ACGCGCAGGCGCGGGCCCGGCGCUCCCUGAGGCGGCGGCGGCGGCUCCGGCGGCUCCUUUGUUCCCCCUACCGGGACCGGGUUCGGGAUCGCGUCGGGAUCGGGUCGGGAUGAGCCUUGGGAAGGGCUCCGGGAAGGGCUCCGGCUCCGCCUGGCGUUAGGAGCUCGAGGACUGCCAUGCCCUUAGGUGCCCAGCCCCCACCCCUGAUGUGAGAUGGCCACCCCGGG
Haemorhous mexicanus (house finch) is the source of this 227-nucleotide long non-coding RNA. RefSeq lists it as uncharacterized. Lineage: Eukaryota; Metazoa; Chordata; Aves; Passeriformes; Fringillidae. The transcript has 3 exons. The record is from RefSeq and is a predicted model, not a curated record.